Long non-coding RNA from Xenia sp. Carnegie-2017, 1078 nucleotides. RefSeq lists it as uncharacterized. The record is from RefSeq and is a predicted model, not a curated record. Lineage: Eukaryota; Metazoa; Cnidaria; Anthozoa; Malacalcyonacea; Xeniidae. The transcript is spliced from 2 exons.
GCCUCGUUUCCUUCCGUGAAUGCUAAGACAGUCAUGUUCAUACUAAAACCUAGCGUACAAAAAUUUUGCAAUAAAAUGAACUACGAACUCCUGUAUACAAACAAAUACACGAAAUUUGUGUAAUAUGAAACUUUAAAGCUCUGUCUAAAGCAUGAGUCACGUUUAAUUUACGCCUGAAGAAUGUUUCAAGUUCAUUGAAAACAGCAAAUUCUACGGUUUACUAGUUUGAAUUUCUUUACUGUUAUACGUUGAAGAAUAAACACACAAGAAAACGUCUAUUGGAAAUGAAAUGAUGAACUGUGAGCGGUGGCAAUUCUGAUAUCGAUAAAAAAUACAAUCACGUUUUGUUACAAAUAUCAUUAUAUAUAAUAAUUUACACAGUAUACGGAAUAUAAUGAUUGAAUCCACUGAAUAUAUGUAUAUAGUUAAAAACGUGUAUUCGUUAGGUCACCUGCUCAUUUAAAGAAAAAUUAAAUCACUUAAGUAAAACAAGCAGACGGUAUAGCAGAGUCUAGACAUGAUGAUUCACGACAAGUUUAUAAAAUUUAAUACAGGAAACUACAAGAGAUUGCCAAUACACCUUCCAGGCUUCCAAGUCAAUUUGGAAAGCGGAAAAGCUGUCGGAAAUACGUCGAUAAUUGUUCAAAUUAUAAAAGUAAAGAAAACAAAGCAAAAUCGACAAAUCAAUAAAAAUCCAUGAUACAAAAAAAAUCCUUGCGCCAUAACAGUGUAUUCAAUAAGUCAAUAAGUCACGAGGAUUACUUUAACGUGUCAAUACAAAUAGUUAAUACGUCAUCAACACCACCAUUAACUCGUCUUGAAUUAGUACUUUUUACAAAUCCAGAAAUCAAGGAAUUGGUAAGAUUUGAAGAUGCUGAUAUGUUGUCAAAAUGAACGAGGCAACCCAGAAAUCAUGCUGAAACCAACUAAUAUACAGCAUAAAUGUUAUUUUAUCAAAUGAUUUCAAUACCUCUUCUUAAUCUUAAUUUCACAAGAUCUGGUGAUUUUCUUAUUGUUUCCACAACUGUAAAGUACAAUUUGAAUGAACAUUAAUUAAAACAAUCUACUUCAACCAAAA